AGACCCGAAACCCGGUGAUCUAGCCAUGGGCAGGUUGAAGGUUGGGUAACACUAACUGGAGGACCGAACCGACUAAUGUUGAAAAAUUAGCGGAUGACCUGUGGCUGGGGGUGAAAGGCCAAUCAAACCGGGAGAUAGCUGGUUCUCCCCGAAAGCUAUUUAGGUAGCGCCUCGUGAAUUCAUCUCCGGGGGUAGAGCACUGUUUCGGCUAGGGGGCCAUCCCGGCUUACCAACCCGAUGCAAACUGCGAAUACCGGAGAAUGUUAUCACGGGAGACACACGGCGGGUGCUAACGUCCGUCGUGAAGAGGGAAACAACCCAGACCGCCAGCUAAGGUCCCAAAGUCAUGGUUAAGUGGGAAACGAUGUGGGAAGGCCCAGACAGCCAGGAUGUUGGCUUAGAAGCAGCCAUCAUUUAAAGAAAGCGUAAUAGCUCACUGGUCGAGUCGGCCUGCGCGGAAGAUGUAACGGGGCUAAACCAUGCACCGAAGCUGCGGCAGCGACGCUGAUGCGUUGUUGGGUAGGGGAGCGUUCUGUAAGCCUGCGAAGGUGGCCUGUGAGGGUUGCUGGAGGUAUCAGAAGUGCGAAUGCUGACAUAAGUAACGAUAAAGCGGGUGAAAAGCCCGCUCGCCGGAAGACCAAGGGUUCCUGUCCAACGUUAAUCGGGGCAGGGUGAGUCGACCCCUAAGGCGAGGCCGAAAGGCGUAGUCGAUGGGAA
Molecule: ribosomal RNA, 717 nt
Filed under: Salmonella enterica
Lineage: Bacteria; Pseudomonadati; Pseudomonadota; Gammaproteobacteria; Enterobacterales; Enterobacteriaceae
Also listed under: 1 other name
Description: partial 23S ribosomal RNA
Rfam family: Bacterial large subunit ribosomal RNA
Source: RNAcentral